Long non-coding RNA from Nerophis ophidion (straightnose pipefish), 2625 nucleotides. RefSeq lists it as uncharacterized. The transcript has 3 exons. The record is from RefSeq and is a predicted model, not a curated record. NCBI's taxonomy places the organism in Eukaryota, Metazoa, Chordata, Actinopteri, Syngnathiformes, Syngnathidae.
UUCAGUAGGACUUUAAAAGUCGCUGUAAAAAGUGAGAGCCAAUGAAUAUGUGCAAGCUUUAUAAUCUGACUAGUUGACUAUUCGUUAAGAUAGUCGUUGACAAGUCGACUAUCAAAAUAGUUGUUAGGUAGUUGCAACCUGGCCUGACAUCGAGUAAAUGUCGUUAAAAAGAAUGUUGUUCCAAUACUAGAUUUGAGUUGCUCAACGUCAGGAGCUAAUUCAACAAGUUCUCAACGUUGUUUCAAUGUCUUGUGCCUACUGGAGUGAGGAGAGCCUGUCACUGAAGCAGAUUGUCACCAUGGCGAUGAACAUGUGAAGUAGCACAGAACAUGCUACCAGGGAUUUUGUCAGCAGGCUUACUGCUAAUAAAGUUCGGUUAAAGGGGAACAUUAUCAGCAGACCUAUGCAAGCGUCAAUAUAUACCUUGAUGGUGCAGGAAAAAGACCAUCUAUUUUUUUUAACCGAUUUCCGAACUCUAAAUGGGUGAAUUUUGGCAAAUUAAACGCCUUUCUGUUUAUUGGUCUUUUAGCGAUGACGUCAGAAUGUGACGUCGCCGAGGUAACACAGCCGCCAUUUUCAUUUUCACAUUACAAACACCGGGUCUCAGCUCUGUUAUUCUCAGUUUUUUCGACUAUUUUUUGGAACCUUGGAGACAUCAUGCCUGGUGGGUGUGUUGUCGGAGGGUGUAACAACACUAACAGGGAGCGAUUCAAGUUGCACCACUGGCAAGAAAUCUGCCGCCAGACCCCCAUUGAAUGUACCAGAGUGUCUCCACAUUUGACCGGCGAUGCUAAGACAGACAUGGCACAGAGAUGUAUGGAUAACCUGCAGAUGCAUUUGCAACCAUUAAGUCAACCAAAUCACAAAGGUUUCGGUGAGAAAAUUGUGGUACUAAGUCGGCUCUUACCGGAGACAUGAGCAGAUCUUGCGCCCUCCUGCAGCUGUCAAAGAGGCAGCUGUGACUUUUUUGGCUCCUCCAUGGCUUCCAUCAGAGACACUGGCGGUCACCACACCUCUCCGACUUUCAGAUGCUGCGGAGCUAGCACUGAGCGCUGGGACGGAGAGGCUUCGCGGUGUCUUGGCUGGGUGAGCAGGUGUCGGACACCUCAGUCACCUUGGACGUAUCCUCCCUCAUCCAUGCGGACUGGACACUGGCCGAGAGUGGAGUCGGCUGUCUUGGUUGCUUUGUUGGGUCUGCUUCUGUCUCUGGCCAUGCUCCCUCCACCCCAGUGGACGAUGGCGUGGAACACCGCAGAGGCCACCACAGUGGAUAUGUUUAUUUUACUUUUUAUUCAUAGCUGUAUGUAGAAGUGUCUGCUUGUAUCUGCUGCUUUAAUGUCUUUAAUGUCCUAUGUGUUCUUUAAUGUUUGAUGUUUCCCUCUUACACACAUGGAAGAGGGAUGUGUACUAUGGCUAUGAGUUGUCGUUGUUUUUUUUGUUUUUUUUUUCCCUUGGCCUCAGUCUGCACCCCCUCUCCAAGGCCCAGGCUAAGACCGAUUUUUUUAAUUUAAUUUUAAUCUUCUAUUCCCCCCCCCCCCCUUGUUUACCUGUAUUUCAUCUUUUUUUGUAAGGGGCGCUGGAAGCCGGCAGACCCGUCAGUGAUCCUGUUCUGUCUCCCUGUAAUGUUUGUCUGAUCUUGAAUGGGAUUGUGCUGAAAAUUGUAAUUUUCCUGAAGGAACUCUCCUGACGGAAUGAAUAAAGUACUAUCUAAUCUAAUAUAAUAAGAUCUUUAGGGGCACUUAGCAUAUUAUGAAUUGAUUGUAUUUCAUUUCAACGGGUGACACUGUUUUGCAGUACAAGGUACGAGCUGCUUCAAAGAACCAAUAAAACUUGUAUUUCGAGAUACCACUCUAGUCGGAAUUUACAAAAGAAAAAGCCAUUAUUUACAAAAAUUAAGUUCUACUACCUGCAGGGUAUAUUACAAAAAUAAAAUUCAUAUUUUAAAAGCGUAGACACAGACUUUAACCUGGAAAAAUCAGAAAAAUAUGUAAACAAAAGAGAAAAGUCAGUACAAGAAUUAUGUUGCAUAACUUUUUCCCCCCCCACUAUUUUACUUUACACUACAACUUUUUCCCCCUAAACAUUCAGAGUGUCAUUUCAUGUAUUUCCCCCUGGUAUUUCAUCUUGCCCCCUAUGCUUUCAGUGUAAUACUUCAGCAUUUUAUUAAAAACUGAAUCAAAGUAAAAAGAGGCACAGAUCCCUUGUUACCUUUAAAAGAAAGAAAGAAAAAAAAACCCAGGACAGGAGGAUUAUUCUGUAUAACAACAAUACUUUCUGACAAAGUGUGAGCUUUUUACUUGCAGUUAGAUUUGGGACAAAAACAUAGCAACUUAUUUAAAUUAUAGUCAUUAAUUUAUAACACGGCACUCUCCUGCUGCUGUGUAAAUGAGGUUACGGGGAUGAGGGCAAAAUAGCUUUUAACCAUUAUUAUUACUCAGCGGAUUAGCUCUGACGCACUUUGGAAGCAAAUGGAACAUUUUCAGAAAUACUUUACUUUUCUCUGAAUCCUCUCGUCCAGGGGUGUCAAACUCCUUUUGUAUUGAAGGCCACAUUGCAGUUAUGGCUGCCCUCUGAGGGCCGCUUGUAACUGUGAGUGUGUGUAUAUACAUACAUAAAUACAUACAU